RNAcentral lists this ribosomal RNA (406 nucleotides) under uncultured bacterium. Its description in RNAcentral is "partial 16S ribosomal RNA". It matches the Rfam family "Bacterial small subunit ribosomal RNA", at positions 30 to 526 of the family's 1533-position model. The record is from RNAcentral.
AUUGAACGCUGGCGGCAGGCCUAACACAUGCAAGUCGAACGAGUGGCGGACGGGUGAGUAAUGUCUGGGAAACUGCCUGAUGGAGGGGGAUAACUACUGGAAACGGUAGCUAAUACCGCAUACCAUCAGAUGUGCCCAGGUGGGAUUAGCUUGUUGGUGGGGUAACGGCUCACCAAGGCGACGAUCCCUAACUGGGCUGAGAGGAUGACCAGGCAAACGGGAACUGAGACACGGGCCAGACUCCUACGGGAGGCAGCAGUGGGGAAUAUUGGACAAUGGGGGCAAGCCUGAUUCAGCCAUGCCGCGUGUAUGAAGAAGGCCUUCGGGUUGGAAAGUACUUUAAGCGGGGAGGCGUUACCCACAGAAGAAGCACCGGCUAACUCCGUGCCAGCAGCCGCGGUAAUUC